This 721-nucleotide ribosomal RNA is filed under the name Oceanibium sediminis. RNAcentral's name for it is "bacterial SSU rRNA". It matches the Rfam family "Bacterial small subunit ribosomal RNA", at positions 99 to 856 of the family's 1533-position model. Lineage: Bacteria; Pseudomonadati; Pseudomonadota; Alphaproteobacteria; Rhodobacterales; Paracoccaceae. The record is from RNAcentral.
CGGACGGGUGAGUAACGCGUGGGAACGUGCCCUUCUCUACGGAAUAGCCCAGGGAAACUUGGAUUAAUACCGUAUACGCCCUUCGGGGGAAAGAUUUAUCGGAGAAGGAUCGGCCCGCGUUAGAUUAGGUAGUUGGUGGGGUAAUGGCCUACCAAGCCGACGAUCUAUAGCUGGUUUGAGAGGAUGAUCAGCCACACUGGGACUGAGACACGGCCCAGACUCCUACGGGAGGCAGCAGUGGGGAAUCUUAGACAAUGGGGGCAACCCUGAUCUAGCCAUGCCGCGUGUGUGAUGAAGGCCUUAGGGUCGUAAAGCACUUUCGCCAGGGAAGAUAAUGACGGUACCUGGUAAAGAAACCCCGGCUAACUCCGUGCCAGCAGCCGCGGUAAUACGGAGGGGGUUAGCGUUGUUCGGAAUUACUGGGCGUAAAGCGCGCGUAGGCGGAUCAGCAAGUUAGGGGUGAAAUCCCGGGGCUCAACCCCGGAACUGCCCUUAAAACUGCUGACCUAGAGUUCGAGAGAGGUGAGUGGAAUUCCGAGUGUAGAGGUGAAAUUCGUAGAUAUUCGGAGGAACACCAGUGGCGAAGGCGGCUCACUGGCUCGAUACUGACGCUGAGGUGCGAAAGUGUGGGGAGCAAACAGGAUUAGAUACCCUGGUAGUCCACACCGUAAACGAUGAAUGCCAGACGUCGGGCAGCAUGCUGUUCGGUGUCGCAGUUAAC